GGGUGGAGACGGUGGCGGCUUGGCAGAGGUUCCGGGAUCUGGAGGGGGAGAAGACCGCCAUGACCGGAAGAGGAGAGAAGGAGAGCGGCGAAGGCGGUGGAGACGGUGGCGGCCUGGCAGAGGUUCCGGGAUCUGGAAGGGGAGAAGACCGCCAUGGCCGGGAGAGAGGAGAAGGAGAGCGGUAGAGGGUGGAGAUGGUGGCGGCCUGGCAGAGGUUUCAGGAUCUGGAGGGGGAGACCGCCAUGGCCGGGAGAGGGGAGAAGGAGAGCAGCGGAGGCGGUGGAAAUGACGGCGGCGGUGAGGGUGGUCGUGGUGGUGGUCGACGGUUGAAGAUGGAAUGUGGGUGAGAGAGACGGUGAAGACGAGAAGAGAG
RNAcentral lists this long non-coding RNA (373 nucleotides) under Salvia miltiorrhiza (redroot sage). RNAcentral's name for it is "long non-coding RNA (SMIL_LNC011368)". Lineage: Eukaryota; Viridiplantae; Streptophyta; Magnoliopsida; Lamiales; Lamiaceae. The record is from RNAcentral.